RNAcentral lists this ribosomal RNA (253 nucleotides) under uncultured bacterium. Its description in RNAcentral is "partial 16S ribosomal RNA". It matches the Rfam family "Bacterial small subunit ribosomal RNA", at positions 524 to 776 of the family's 1533-position model. The record is from RNAcentral.
UACGGAGGGUGCAAGCGUUAUCCGGAUUCACUGGGUUUAAAGGGUGCGUAGGCGGGUAGGUAAGUCCGUGGUGAAAUCCCUAAGCUUAACUUAGGAACUGCCACAGAUACUAUCUGUCUUGAAUACUGUGGAGGUGAGCGGAAUAUGUCAUGUAGCGGUGAAAUGCUUAGAUAUGACAUAGAACACCAAUUGCGAAGGCAGCUCACUACACAGUCAUUGACGCUGAGGCACGAAAGCGUGGGGAUCAAACAGG